This 273-nucleotide unclassified non-coding RNA is filed under the name uncultured fungus. RNAcentral describes it as "partial contains 5.8S ribosomal RNA, internal transcribed spacer 2, and large subunit ribosomal RNA". The stretch from base 1 to 52 matches the Rfam family "5.8S ribosomal RNA", at positions 103 to 154 of the family's 154-position model. Lineage: Eukaryota; Fungi. The record is from RNAcentral.
AACGCACAUUGCGCCCUUUGGUAUUCCGAAGGGCAUGCCUGUUCGAGCGUCAUUAUCACCCCUCAAGCCCCGUGCUUGGUGUUGGACGGCCUGGUCGAGGAGCCCUCGACCCCUCCUAAAGACAAUGACGGCGGCCUGUGGUUCCCCCGGUACACUGAGCUUUUAACUGAGCACGUAUCGGACAAGGGCGCCCAGGACCCGGUCCUCUCCUUUCACAAGGAAACUUUUUUCAAGGUUGACCUCGGAUCAGGUAGGAAUACGCGCUGAACUUAA